ACUCACCCCAUAAGGUCGCUUUCUCCUCCUCUAUUAAGGGUUGUGCCAUGUCUGAAGAAGAAACAUGAUGCAAGUAAUUGAUUCGUCCAGUUGUGUUACCUUGCAAUGGCGGAUAUGGUAAGAACCCGGCCUCUUCUCCCUUGCCUGCUCCGACAGCGGUGUUCUGGGCGUCCAUGACCAUGGCAGAAAGUCUCAAAGGAGGACGCCGGCAAGCACAAGGCGCUGCUGCCACCAUCUCUGGAGACUGGCACAACGCAAUGGCUACAAGGGUCCAAGUUGCGUGUGUAGCAGAAGGACACUGAUGGGAAGAAGACCAGUCCAUUUCUCUGGGAAAUAAUCCGAUGGUUUGCUCCUUUCAGUCUUGAGGAUGAGUUGAUUGACAACAAUAAGAUGGGGAGGGGAAGCAUCGGAGGUAAAGAUGUGCAAGGAUGAUAACUCAGGGAGAGGACUGGUAUGCCACGUGAAACAUUACAACAAGAGGAUUGACCUACAAGAGAAAAAACAAGGAGAUGGGGACAUCUAGCAAUCAGCAGCGUGGCGAGGAGGAUGGUGGUGUCACCUGACAUGAAUAGUGGUAAACAAGUUGAUGUAGUUAGCCACGUGUUCCUUAAUAUUUAGGCCUGGGAAUUGGGACUUGCCAAAAAGCUGUCGCGUCUAUGUUUGCUAAUGUUUUCAGUCCAUUGGUGUUUCCCUCAUUAUCAUCUCGCGGACUUUGGAUCUCUGUCAAUACAUGAAUUCAGUUGCUACAAUUUCUUACAGUAUUUCUGUAGUUCUUUGUAGGGGAUUUUUGUUCAUGCAUGACUCAUGGUACAAUAAGAAUUAUCUGUAAUUCAUGGACAAUAGGAGUUUUCUGCCUGGUAGUAAUUACUCAAAUAACAUCUUUUUCCAUGCUUUCUCUUAUUAUUAUUUUUAUGUUUAAUUAUUUAUUUGAUCAGCAACCUACAUGAAGUACUUUCCAGAGCAGCCAUUCUGGAGUCUCUUAUACCAUUAACAGAGUUCUAUUCAUAGAUGAUAAACCCUGUUCCAGAGCACCCGCUACGAGCUUCAUGUAUGUUGUUGAUUCAUAAGAGAUUCACUUGGGAGCAGGUGAUGUGGUUCUUGGAACGCUUCCUUUAGCAUGGGAAUUUAUACGCCAUGGAGUUAAUUAAUAUAUAAAUUUAAAUAUAAAAAUAAGAAGAAAAAGAUAAAUUUUGGUAGGUUUGCUCGACAUUGUAGUUUGAAUUAAAAAGAACACAUGUUUUUGCUGUUUGAACAUAUUGAAUCAUGAGCUGGCAAAAAGCAAUAUAUAGCAUGCUCAUAAUAAAUUUUAUUUACAUUUCUGUUCUCUUCCAUGGACAAUUAUAGACUUCAGACUAGAUCGAGAAAUUACAUUUUAUUGGUGUCACCAGAAGGUCCAGAACUGAUAGAAAUACGACCUUUUACAGUUUGAGCAACCUUGUGAAAUAACCAUUUAACGAUUACUCUUUCUACUGCUACUAAGAUGCUUAGCAUAAGCCGGUAAAAUAAUACUAGGUACUUCUGGUUAUAAGUUCGUCGCCGACUUUGAUGAUGUUAAGGCUUGAGAACUGAUGGUACUUUCAUUAAGUUCCACUAUGGUACUUAAUUUUUGAAGUUGGUGUAAUGUUAUUAUUGAGUAAACUGAUGAAGUAUACCGGAACUGACACACGAUACUAGGAAUUGUAUGUCCUUUUCUUGAUAAUAAAAUACUCAUUUGGUCUGAUUAAAAUUUUUGUCACAUGAUUCAUCGUUGUGCAUGAAUUUACUUUAUUUUAGUUUGUAUUACUUGGAAUGUUGAGAGUUGGUGUUCCCUCUCUCUUCAGGUCAUUCAUUGAAGCUUCAGCGACCCAUAAAGCCCGAGAAGUGAAGCCCUCUUCAAUCCUCUACCUCUCUCGCUGUUGUGUCCAGCCUGCUGCCUGCCUGCUGUGUUGCCUCAAAGAAGGGUCGGGGGCACUUGAUGUGGAGGAUGGCGACAAGGAGAAGUGAGGAUUUCGUGAGGACAGAAACAACGGGAGAGAUAAAACAUACUCCUCUGGUGCAUUGAAUUUAGACUGUUUGAUGUUCUGCUGCUGGUCAAUUCAGUUUCCGUGCCCCGGUUUCAUGACGGGAGUUGUCCGUCAGGGGGUAAGUUAUAGGCGCACGCAAGCGCGCAUGUGCUCGUGCAUCUCGGUGUGUGGACACGGGAUGCUCUCUUUGCAGUUCAGAGUAAGAGCGAUCAUAUAUGGCUUGAGAUAUUGCAUAGGAAAAGGAUCUACCAGAUCAUCAAUGCAACACAGGACAUCUGAAUUUAACCUUAUCUUUCUCUUUUCUUUUGAAAGGGAUAGAGGAGUGGAAAGGCGUACUGCUUGAUCAGAAACUAAGGAGUUUGCAUCAUUAUUAGCUGCCAGUAUAGCUUAUUUUGAGCUUAACCACAUACCUGAUUGUUGUGUAUGAAAGCAUAAUCCUAUCAAAUACUCUUCUUUUUUGCUUGGGUGUUCUGGUGAGAAUCUUCAAGGUACCUGGUUGUUAUCUCAGCAAGUCACAUAUCUGAAAGUUCAAUAGAGACUUGCACCUCAGAGUUUUUGAUAGGUCGCUAGAGGUGUGUGAAGUUUUCUUUCCUCCCGUUGCAACGCACGGGCACAUUUACUAGUAAUAAUAAAUGGGCUUUUGCUUCUUGCGGUACAUCACAAAAAUUGCCCCCAAAGUUGCAAAAUAUUACCCACCAAUGCCAUCUAUAAAUGAUAAAA
RNAcentral lists this long non-coding RNA (2723 nucleotides) under Triticum aestivum (bread wheat). RNAcentral's name for it is "long non-coding RNA (TAES_LNC027926)". Lineage: Eukaryota; Viridiplantae; Streptophyta; Magnoliopsida; Poales; Poaceae. The record is from RNAcentral.